RNAcentral lists this ribosomal RNA (253 nucleotides) under uncultured bacterium. Its description in RNAcentral is "partial 16S ribosomal RNA". It matches the Rfam family "Bacterial small subunit ribosomal RNA", at positions 524 to 776 of the family's 1533-position model. The record is from RNAcentral.
UACAGAGGGUGCGAGCGUUGUCCGGAAUCACUGGGCGUAAAGGGCGCGUAGGUGGCGCGACAAGUCAGUGGUGAAAGUUCGACGCUCAACGUCGAAUCGGCCACUGAUACUGUUGGGCUUGAGCACUGUAGAGGCUAAUGGAAUUCCGGGUGUAGCGGUGGAAUGCGUAGAGAUGUGGAGGAACACCGAUGGCGAAGGCAGCCUUCUGGGCCAACACUGACGCUCAUGCACGAAAGCGUGGGGAGCAAACAGG